GACGAACGCUGGCGGCGUGCUUAACACAUGCAAGUCGAACGGAAACGCACUGCUUUUGUGGGGUGCUCGAGUGGCGAACGGGUGAGUAACACGUGAGUAACCUGCCCUUGACUUUGGGAUAACUUCAGGAAACUGGGGCUACUACCGGAUAGGAGCUCCUGCACCAUGGUGGGGGUUGGAAAUUUUCGGCGGGUGGGGAUGGACUGGCGGCUUAUCAGCUUGUUGGUGGGGUAGUGGCUUACCCAGGGUUUGACGGGUAGCCGGCCUGAGAGGGUGACCGGCCACAUUGGGACUGAGAUACGGCGCAGAGUGCUACGGGAGGCAGCAGUGGCGAAUAUUGCACAGUGGGCGGAAGCCUGAGGCAGCAACGCCGCGUGCGGGAUGACGGUCUUCGGGUUGUGAAACGCUUCCGGCUGUGACGAAGCGGGAGUGACGGUAAUGGGUAAAGAAGCACCGGCUAACUACGUG
RNAcentral lists this ribosomal RNA (468 nucleotides) under uncultured bacterium. RNAcentral describes it as "partial 16S ribosomal RNA". It matches the Rfam family "Bacterial small subunit ribosomal RNA", at positions 28 to 507 of the family's 1533-position model. The record is from RNAcentral.